CCCUUAGAUGUUCGGGGCCGCACGCGCGCUACACUGAAGGACUCAGCGUGUCUCUCCCCCUAUCCCGAAAGGGAUGGGCAACCCGUUGAACCUCCUUCGUGCUAGGGAUUGGGGUUUGCAAUUAUCCCCCAUGAACGAGGAAUUCCCAGUAAGCGCGAGUCAUCAGCUCGCGUUGAUUACGUCCCCGCCCUUUGUACACACCGCCCGUCGCUACUACCGAUUGGAUGGUUUAGUGAGACCCUCGGAUCGGUCCCGACUCGGGGUGGGCUUCUGCCCCGGUCGUGGUUUCGCCGAGAAGACGGUCAAACUUGACUACCUAGAGGAAGUAAAAGUCGUAACA
This 340-nucleotide ribosomal RNA is filed under the name uncultured eukaryote. RNAcentral's name for it is "partial 18S ribosomal RNA". It matches the Rfam family "Eukaryotic small subunit ribosomal RNA", at positions 1470 to 1796 of the family's 1831-position model. The record is from RNAcentral.